CCUACGGGAGGCAGCAGUGAGGAAUAUUGGUCAAUGGGCGCGAGCCUGAACCAGCCAAGUAGCGUGAAGGAUGACUGCCCUACGGGUUGUAAACUUCUUUUAUAAAGGAAUAAAGUGAGGCACGUGUGCCUCUUUGUAUGUACUUUAUUAAUAAGGAUAGGCUAACUCCGUGCCAGCAGCCGCGGUAAUACGGAGGAUCCGAGGGUUAUCCGGAUUUAUUUGGUUUAAAGGGGGCGUAGAUGGGUUGUUAAGUCAGUUGGGAAAGUUUGUGGGUCAACCGUAAUAUUGCAAUUGAUACUGGCAGCCUUGAGUACAGUAGAGGUAGGCGGAAUGCGUGGUGUAGCGGUGAAAUGCUUAGAUAUCACGAAGAACUCCGAUUGCGAAGGCAGCUUACUAGACUGCCACUGACAUUGAUGCUCGAAAGUGUGGGUAUCAAACAGGAUUAGAUACCCCGGUAGUC
Molecule: ribosomal RNA, 460 nt
Filed under: uncultured bacterium
Lineage: Bacteria
Description: partial 16S ribosomal RNA
Rfam family: Bacterial small subunit ribosomal RNA
Source: RNAcentral